RNAcentral lists this ribosomal RNA (253 nucleotides) under uncultured bacterium. Its description in RNAcentral is "partial 16S ribosomal RNA". It matches the Rfam family "Bacterial small subunit ribosomal RNA", at positions 524 to 776 of the family's 1533-position model. The record is from RNAcentral.
UACGAAGGGAGCUAGCGUUGUUCGGAAUCACUGGGCGUAAAGCGCACGUAGGCGGAUGUGUCAGUCAGGGGUGAAAUCCCGGAGCUCAACUUCGGAACUGCCUUUGAUACAGCACGUCUUGAGUCCGGAAGAGGUGGGUGGAAUUCCUAGUGUAGAGGUGAAAUUCGUAGAUAUUAGGAAGAACACCGGUGGCGAAGGCGGCCCACUGGGCCGGUACUGACGCUGAGGUGCGAAAGCGUGGGGAGCAAACAGG